AUGCAAGAUACGGCCACCUCAACUUCCAGGCGCUCCGCAAGCUCGCCCAGCAAGGACUGGUGCGCGGGCUGCCCUCCAUUGACCACAUCGACCAGGUGUGUGACGGGUGCCUCGCCGGCAAGCAGAGGUGUGCCUCGUUUCCCGCAGAGGCGAACUACAGAGCGGAGCAGAUCCUGGAGCUGGUGCACGGCGAUCUUUGCGGGCCCAUCACGCCCGCCACGGCUGGUGGGCGGCGCUACUUCCUCCUCGUCGACGACAUGUCCAGGUACAUGUGGCUGUCAGUGCUUCGGUCCAAGGACGAGGCCGCGGGGGCGAUCGCGCGGUUCCAGGCGCGCGUGGAGACAGAGACAGGGCGCAGGCUGCGCGCACUGCGGACGGACCGCGGCGGCGAGUUCACCUCCGUCGACUUCAGCGACUACUGUGCAGACCGAGGGGUGCAGCGGCAGCUCACGGUGCCGUACUCCUCAACAAAACGGCGUUGUGGAGCGCCGUAACCAGACGGUGGUGGCCAUGGCCAGGAGCAUGAUGAAGGUCGCAUCCAUGCCAGGAGAGUUCUGGGGGGAGGCAGUCACCACUGCCGUGUUCAUCCUGAACAGGUCGCCGACGCGCUCCGUGGUCGGCAUGACCCCGUACGAGGCGUGGCACGGUGAUCGACCUCCGGUGCACUUCCUGCGCACCUUUGGGUGCGUGGUUCAUGUCAAGACGGUGAAACCGCACCAGAGCAAGCUCGAGGACCGCUCCACUCCGAUGGUUUUCGUCGGGUAUGAAGAGGGCGGCAAAGCGUACCGCGCCUACAACCCGGCGACCAAGCGUGUCCAGAUCAUGCGGGAUGCUGUCUUCGACGAGUCAGCACGAUGGAACUGGGAGGACUCCUCUCAUGGCACUCCGGCAACAGUGGGUGAGUCGUUCACUGUACCUUAUCCAGCUUACAAGGUGCAGAUGGCUCAGAGUGGCGGAGAAGAAGAAGCAGAACCUCAGACACCGCCGGCUCUGCGGAACCUUGCAGCGGCGAGAUCACGCUCUGAAGUGAACACGCCCGCACCUGUCAGCAGUCCGGACACGGCCGUGUCUGUCAGCAGCCCGGAAUCGGCGACCGAGGCACCACAAACCUCUGCUGCAGCCGCCACUCCAGGGGGUUUGGAGUUUGUGACACCGCCCUCCGGGAGCCCAGUGCUGGACGCCGAUGACGACGCGCGCGUAGCUCAUCGCUUUCGCCGUGUGUCUGACGUUCUCGGGCUCCACUAUGGCGCCGUUCAGCCAGACAAAAAACUGCUGAUCGCCUCUGCUGAAGAACCAAGUACAUUCAAAGAAGCGGAGCUCGAUCCAAGCUGGCGCAGAGCGAUGAUCGAGGAGGUAAACUCGAUCGAGGAAAACAACACGUGGGAGCUCACUGAUCUGCCCGCUGGACACCAGGCCAUCGGGGUAAAGUGGGUGUUCCGCGUCAAGAAGGACCCGGCCGGAGAAAUCGUCAAGUACAAAGCUCGCCUCGUCGCCAAGGGAUUUGUGCAGAAGCCUGGCAUCGACUUCGACGAGGUUUUUGCCCCAGUAGCUCGACUGGAGUCCGUGCGCCUUCUGCUAGCACUUGCAGCGCACGAGGGAUGGCCGAUCCAUCACAUGGAUGUCAAAUCGGCUUUCCUCAAUGGCGAGCUGAAGGAGGAGGUCUACGUCGAGCAGCCGCCGGGUUUCGUCGUCGACGACCACAGGCGCAAGGUACUGAAGCUGCACAAGGCGCUGUAUGGUCUCCACCAGGCACCUCGCGCUUGGAACGCCAAGCUUGACACCACGCUCGUUGACAUGGGUUUCCGUCGCUGCAACUCCGAGCACGCCGUCUACGCACGCGGGUCAGGCCGCGAGCUCCUUCUUCUGGGGGUGUACGUGGAUGACCUGGUGAUCACCGGGGCCGACGCCACGGAGAUCGACAAUUUCAAGACGGCGAUGAAGGGCAAGUUUAGGAUGAGCGAUCUCGGGUUGCUCUCCUACUACCUAGGCAUUGAAGUGCGCCAGGAUGUGGAUGGUGUGACCAUUGCGCAGAGCGCGUACGUUGACAAGAUCAUUGAGAAGGCGGGGCUGAUGGGGUGUAAUGCACGUCAGACACCCAUGGAAGCGCGUCUGAAGCUGAGCAAGGCAAGCACAGCGGCUUCGACGGACGCUACGGAGUACAGGAGCAUGGUGGGGACGUUGCGCUACCUCACCCACUCCCGGCCAGAUAUCACCUUCGCGGUGAGCUACGUGAGCCGUUUCAUGGAAGCGCCCACGGUCGAGCACUUGACUGCUGUUCAGCACAUCGUCAGGUACGUGGCCGGCACUCGUGAUCUGGGGUGUCAUUUUCCUCGCCGGCGAGCCAACGGAGCCAGGCUCGUCGGGUACAGCGACAGCGACAUGGCGGGCGACAUCGAUGAUCGCAAGAGCACGUCCGGGGGAGUCUUUUUCCUCGGUGAUAGCCCUGUCAGCUGGCUGUCGCAGAAACAGAAAGUGGUGGCCCUUUCAUCAUGUGAAGCUGAGUUCAUUGCAGCAAUAACGGCCGCAUGUCAGGGCGUGUGGGUGGCGCGUCUGCUUGCAGAAAUCACAGGUGAAGAACUUCAGGUGCCACUGCUUCUGGUGGACAACAAAUCUGCCAUAGCUCUCUGCAAGAAUCCGGUUCUCCACGACAGAAGUAAGCACAUAGAUGUGCGGUAUCAUUUCAUCAGGGAAUGUGUGGAGGAUGGAAGGAUGACAGUUGAUUACAUCCGAACUGAAGAUCAGUUGGCUGACAUUUUGACGAAGCCCCUGGGACGGGUCAGGUUCAUCCAGCUGAGAGAGAAGAUUGGAAUGAAGAAAAUAAAGUAA
RNAcentral lists this ribosomal RNA (2826 nucleotides) under Triticum aestivum (bread wheat). RNAcentral's name for it is "partial small subunit ribosomal RNA". The record is from RNAcentral. Lineage: Eukaryota; Viridiplantae; Streptophyta; Magnoliopsida; Poales; Poaceae.